GAUGAACGCUGGCGGCGUGCCUAAUACAUGCAAGUCUAGCGAACGGACGAGAAGCUUGCUUCUUUGAUGUUAGCGGCGGACGGGUGAGUAACACGUGGAUAACCUACCUAUAAGACUGGGAUAACUUCGGGAAACCGGAGCUAAUACCGGCUAAUAUUUUGAACCGCAUGGUUCAAAAGUGAAAGACGGUCUUGCUGUCACUUAUAGAUGGAUCCGCGCUGCAUUAGCUAGUUGGUAAGGUAACGGCUUACCAAGGCAACGAUGCAUAGCCGACCUGAGAGGGUGACCGGCCACACUGGAACUGAGACACGGUCCAGACUCCUACGGGAGGCAGCAGUAGGGAAUCUUGCGCAAUGGGCGAAAGCCUGACGGAGCAACGCCGCGUGAGUGAUGAAGGUCUUCGGAUCGUAAAACUCUGUUAGUAGGGAAGAACAGAUGUGUAAGUAACUGUGCACAUCUUGACGGUACCUAAUCAGAAAGCCACGGCUAACUACGUG
RNAcentral lists this ribosomal RNA (497 nucleotides) under uncultured bacterium. RNAcentral's name for it is "partial 16S ribosomal RNA". It matches the Rfam family "Bacterial small subunit ribosomal RNA", at positions 28 to 507 of the family's 1533-position model. The record is from RNAcentral.